AACGAACGCUGGCGGCAUGCCUAACACAUGCAAGUCGAACGAGACCUUCGGGUCUAGUGGCGCACGGGUGCGUAACGCGUGGGAACCUGCCUUUAGGUUCGGAAUAACUCAGAGAAAUUUGAGCUAAUACCGGAUGAUGUCUUCGGACCAAAGAUUUAUCGCCUUUAGAUGGGCCCGCGUUGGAUUAGCUAGUUGGUGGGGUAAAGGCCUACCAAGGCGACGAUCCAUAGCUGGUCUGAGAGGAUGAUCAGCCACACUGGGACUGAGACACGGCCCAGACUCCUACGGGAGGCAGCAGUGGGGAAUAUUGGACAAUGGGCGAAAGCCUGAUCCAGCAAUGCCGCGGGAGUGAUGAAGGCCUUAGGGUUGUAAAGCUCUUUUACCCGAGAUGAUAUGACAGUAUCGGGAGAAUAAGCUCCGGCUAACUCCGUG
This 432-nucleotide ribosomal RNA is filed under the name uncultured bacterium. RNAcentral describes it as "partial 16S ribosomal RNA". It matches the Rfam family "Bacterial small subunit ribosomal RNA", at positions 29 to 507 of the family's 1533-position model. The record is from RNAcentral.